AGGGCACCACCAGGAGUGGAGCCUGCGGCUUAAUUUGACUCAACACGGGAAAUCUCACCAGGCCCGGACACCGGAAGGAUUGACAGAUUGAGAGCUCUUUCUUGAUUCGGUGGGUGGUGGUGCAUGGCCGUUCUUAGUUGGUGGAGCGAUUUGUCUGGUUAAUUCCGAUAACGAACGAGACUCUGGCCUAUUAACUAGACGUUAGAUCCUUUAUGGGUUUGACGAUGCUUCUUAGAGGGACGGGCGGCUUUUAGCCGCACGAGAAUGAGCAAUAACAGGUCUGUGAUGCCCUUAGAUGUUCUGGGCUGCACGCGCGCUACACUGAAGAAAUCAGCGUGUGUUCCCUAUCCGAAAGGAUUGGGAAACCCGUUGAACCUUCUUCGUGAUGGGGAUUGGGGAUUGCAAUUAUUCCCCAUGAACGAGGAAUUCCCAGUAGGCGCGAGCCAUAAGCUUGCGUCGAUUACGUCCCUGCCCUUUGUACACACCGCCCGUCGCUACUACCGAUCGAGUGAUUUAGUG
RNAcentral lists this ribosomal RNA (519 nucleotides) under uncultured eukaryote. RNAcentral's name for it is "SSU rRNA". It matches the Rfam family "Eukaryotic small subunit ribosomal RNA", at positions 1161 to 1703 of the family's 1831-position model. The record is from RNAcentral.